UUCGGGGUGCCCAGGCGCGAAAACUUUACAAUGCUGGAAACAGCGAUAAGGGGACCUCGAGUGCCAGGUUACAAAUCUGGCUGUCGUGAUGCCUAAAAAGCAUUGCAUAGCAAGGGCCGGGCAAGACCGGUGCCAGCCGCCGCGGUAACACCGGCGGCUCGAGUGGUAACCGUUAUUAUUGGGUCUAAAGGGUCUGUAGCCGGCCGGAUAAGUCUCUUGGGAAAUCCAGCAGCUCAACUGUUGAGCUUUCAGGAGAUACUGUCUGGCUCGAGGCCGGGAGAGGUGAGAGGUACUUCAGGGGUAGGGGUGAAAUCUUGUAAUCCUUGAAGGACCACCAGUGGCGAAGGCGUCUCACCAGAACGGACCUGACGGCAAGGGACGAAAGCUAGGGGCACGAACCGGAUUAGAUACCCGGGUAGUCCUAGCCGUAAACGAUACUCGCUAGGUGUCGGCCACGGUGCGACCGUUGUCGGUGCCGUAGGGAAGCCGUGAAGCGAGCCACCUGGGAAGUACGGCCGCAAGGCUGAAACUUAAAGGAAUUGGCGGGGGAGCAC
Molecule: ribosomal RNA, 554 nt
Filed under: uncultured archaeon
Lineage: Archaea
Description: bacterial SSU rRNA
Rfam family: Archaeal small subunit ribosomal RNA
Source: RNAcentral